AGCCAGGAAUUGUUCCCCUGUACAGGAACAAAAAAACACAUUUUUGCCUUGAGGAAUCCGCGUCUGGGUCCGUACGCGCUCCCGCCAGCUAAAUCCCUAAUUAUCAUGAGAAUGUCCUCCACCCGGGACCGGCCUCACAUUACCAAAUCAUGCCAUGUCUCUCUCCCAUAGUUUCUGAAAGUGUGUGCUGGUAUGUGUGUGAAAGGAUUGUGGUCAGUGCUUUUCCGCAGCCGAGCGCUUGAUUUUCUAUUCUCUUGUUCCUCUCUUGUGAGUCUUAAGUUCCAUGUAGCCAAGAAUGUUCACCCAAGUUUCAUGGGACCCUUUGACGAAAAGGGUAAGUGACCAGUUUUUUUUGGGGGGGAGGGGUGUUUGGUGCAUCCGGGGCCACAAAGUGAAGGUAGAGCGCUUUUCGAAAAAAAGAAACAAAUAUUUCUUCAGCAAACAAACCUCACACGUUACCUCUUCUCAAAGUGAACGUCUUCGCCUCGAUUCAUUCUACAAGAAGCUCUCCCAAGUCAUCUCUUGGAAUCUGCACAGUCCCUCGUGAGUGCCAAGCCGAGGGAACAGUGCUCCCUUUGAUACCCCAACGAGGACCGUCCUUGUGCUCUAAACGCUGAGACACGGAUAUAAAGACUGGAUGUUGCGAGGUGAAAUGUCCUAACGGUUGCCUCGCUCAUGUAGAAGCCAACAGACACACGAGUCGUUUUCGUUUUUCUACAUACUUGCCUUGCAGAUGGAAAACUUGAUUUCAAAUUGUUUUCUCUUUUUGUAACGUGUCAUUCAAGAGUGCUAAAUGUGACCGUGCCAUUUUGUUGAUGAGGAUGACUCUGCAUGUCAUGUGCAUGAAGCGUACCACGAUCCGUGAAAAUACUCCAUGUGGGUAGUUUAGUACUUCAUGCUUUUAUUUCACUCCUGCCGUGCUGAACUGUAUAAGGCCCAGUGCCUUUUCAGACGUGUUGAGGCAAAAAAGGAUGAUUCAAACAAGGGAUUUUCUUAAUUGACUCAAUGAAACAAUCGAUAUGUGAUCGUGAACCCUGCUGUUGUGUUUAAUUACACGCAAGAGAGCUACAUACUGCUGGACAAAGUUUUAAAUCCAAACGCUCAUGUUGCUCUCUGAGACAUUCACCGUACUUCUGCUGUUUCUCAUUUGCACCUUUUUGUUAUUACCUCUUGUGUACGAAUGACACAGGACGUGGUGGUGAUUUUGAGUAAGCAUGAUUUCUAUAUAUGUUUUUUUUAAACGCCUAUGUACUUUUGAUGUGUACACAUUCUUUUCAAUCUAUUUCCAUUACAUUCUGUUCUCGUCCAUCCUCCCUGAGUGAUCAAACAAGCUGAUGUUUCUUAUCAAAAGGGAGAUUAAUCUGUCAUGUGAUGGUCUGUUAGUGCAUAGCUGCUCUAUGGUAAAUCCGCCUGUAUUUAAACCAGCAAG
Gasterosteus aculeatus aculeatus (three-spined stickleback) is the source of this 1429-nucleotide long non-coding RNA. Lineage: Eukaryota; Metazoa; Chordata; Actinopteri; Perciformes; Gasterosteidae. The record is from Ensembl.